This 253-nucleotide ribosomal RNA is filed under the name uncultured bacterium. RNAcentral describes it as "partial 16S ribosomal RNA". It matches the Rfam family "Bacterial small subunit ribosomal RNA", at positions 524 to 776 of the family's 1533-position model. The record is from RNAcentral.
UACGUAGGGUGCGAGCGUUGUCCGGAAUUAUUGGGCGUAAAGAGCUCGUAGGCGGUCUGUCGCGUCGAUCGUGAAAACUUGGGGCUUAACCCUGAGCUUGCGGUCGAUACGGGCUAGCUAGAGUGUGGUAGGGGAGAUCGGAAUUCCUGGUGUAGCGGUGAAAUGCGCAGAUAUCAGGAGGAACACCGGUGGCGAAGGCGGAUCUCUGGGCCAUUACUGACGCUGAGGAGCGAAAGCGUGGGGAGCGAACAGG